Benincasa hispida (wax gourd) is the source of this 523-nucleotide long non-coding RNA. RefSeq lists it as uncharacterized. The record is from RefSeq and is a predicted model, not a curated record. Lineage: Eukaryota; Viridiplantae; Streptophyta; Magnoliopsida; Cucurbitales; Cucurbitaceae.
UUCUCUUUCUCUUUCUCUCCCUCACCCCUCUCCUUCCCCCUCACGCCAACACUCCGCCCCCCCUUCCAUCUCUAUCUCGUAGUUGAACCCUCGCCAGCAAGUCAUGUUCGCCCAUGACCCAGUUAAACUACGUUCGCUCGUGACCCAGCACUGCCGUCCCUCCUGCGUCUCAGUCGUGCCACCCAACAUUCCACUCAUCGAACAACCCAACUGCGUGACCCGCUGUUCCGCCCGAUUCAGUGACGUCCGAAGUCACCGCCCCAGCCCAGGCAGCUGUUCGCUCGCCCAGCUAACCUCUCAGAUGCAAAGUCGCACCACGCCGCCGCUCAUCCAGAUCCACCAUCACAUAUCUCCUCCGCCACCGCGCCCUUCUUCACACCAACCUUGCCAGAUUCGUCACUGCCGUCUGCAUUUAUCUGAUGCUGCCUCUCCCUUGUCGUCGUCUUGGGUGCCGUCAUAUCUAUUUGGGUAAAGGUAGAGAUGCACCGGCGAUCGACAAGCAAAAUCCAUGAUCAAGCCACUG